CUGCAUGGCGAGAAGGAGGUCCAUUCUGACAAUAACUGGAGAACAAGCUUUCUAUCAAGUUUGGUGGAGUCAAACCAGGAGAGGUUAUGUAGUUAAGUAUACCUAAUUAAGUAGCUUAUGAAAGGAUACUGCUCAAUAUAAUUAUAUUUGUAUACUAUCGCAAUGUCUUCAAAAAUGAAGGCUGGGUAAAAAUGUUUUAGUAAAUACAUAAAAAAAGUAGCCUUCUUCACUUCCUAUAUUUGCAGUCUGAAGGAGGACACGGAGGGAAGAAGUUAUCACACUAGCCAUUAGUAAUAUUUGUUCAAAAAGAGGAGAGUGCCAAACCUCUGCUAUCAUCUAUCCUUUUCAUUUGGAUCUUAGGCAAAAUUGUCCACAGCUGAUCCUUGUUGAUUCUAAUUAAUCUGUAAUACUGGCCAAGCUUUCAGCUUGAAGAGUACAAACAAGUGACUUGUUCCAAAAUGUAAAAUAAAGCUUUAAAAUUGAUCUGUUCAACUAUUUAUUUGUUUAUCAUGUCAGAAACUAAUUGAGGGUACAGUUACAAUGUAUUUUUAAAAACACAAAGUUAAAAAUUUGACAUUAUACUACAUUUCCUUUGUCCAGAAGCUGGCCACUUGGAGUGUCACUGUGAGAAGGCCCUCCAUUGUGCAUGUGCCAGGGCUCAACUGCAUUCUGCUUCCAACACUGAUUGCGGUGAUACUUCAAAAAACAAAGAACAAGAAUGAAAAUAUUGCUUCCAACAACACACAAAAAGAGAGCAGAAAUAUCCCUUCUUCAGGAAGAAUAUUUAAAUAUUGACAUUUUUGUUUUGUCUUAAGUUGAAUGUGAUUCUUAGUGGUAAGAUGAUGCCCUUUUCAUCAUGAAAUUAGCAAAAGUCAAAGUCAUUAUGUUGAAUCUAUUGUAGCUUAUGAUUCUUGCUAGUAAUCAACUAGCUUUGACAUAGAAAUUCUUUAAAUGGUUUAUUGAUGAAAUUAAUGUAUGGCAUAUUCCAAAACAAAUGUUCAGAGAUGUUCCCAAAAUGGGAAAUUAUUCUCAAAUGAGGACUCUCUUUUCAAUCAUAUAACCUUCAAUAGCUUUAAUAAUUACCAAUGACCAUUUCUAUGGUGCCAGUCAUUUUCUGAGCAAUGGACUGCAAUGGAAAUAAACACAUCUGAAUUUUAAAAAUUGCUCUUGUACAAAAAAAUCCUGCAUUAUUCACCUGAAACUUGGCUUCUUCUUUGUAAGAGCUUUGUAGACCUAGAGCUAUGGGAUAGGCAGAAUACCCUUUGGCACAGCUUAACAGUGAACAGGCAACUA
This 1293-nucleotide long non-coding RNA is filed under the name Anolis carolinensis (green anole). RNAcentral describes it as "lncRNA (ENSACAG00000038281.1)". Lineage: Eukaryota; Metazoa; Chordata; Lepidosauria; Squamata; Anolidae. The record is from RNAcentral.